UGGGGAAUAUUGGACAAUGGGCGCAAGCCUGAUCCAGCCAUGCCGCGUGAGUGAUGAAGGCCUUCGGGUUGUAAAGCUCUUUCACCCACGACGAUGAUGACGGUAGUGGGAGAAGAAGCCCCGGCUAACUUCGUGCCAGCAGCCGCGGUAAUACGAAGGGGGCAAGCGGUGUUCGGAAUGACUGGGCGUAAAGGGCGCGUAGGCGGUUCGUUGCGUCAGAUGUGAAAGCCCCGGGCUCAACCUGGGAACUGCAUUUGAUACGGGCGGGCUUGAAUCCAAGAGAGGGUGGUGGAAUUCCCAGUGUAGAGGUGAAAUUCGUAGAUAUUGGGAAGAACACCAGUGGCGAAGGCGGCCACCUGGCUUGGUAUUGACGCUGAGGCGCGAAAGCGUGGGGAGCAAACAGG
Molecule: ribosomal RNA, 404 nt
Filed under: uncultured bacterium
Lineage: Bacteria
Description: bacterial SSU rRNA
Rfam family: Bacterial small subunit ribosomal RNA
Source: RNAcentral